GGGGGAGCUACAAUGCAGUCGAGCGGAUGAAGGGAGCUUGCUCCUGGAUUCAGCGGCGGACGGGUGAGUAAUGCCUAGGAAUCUGCCUGGUAGUGGGGGAUAACGUCCGGAAACGGGCGCUAAUACCGCAUACGUCCUGAGGGAGAAAGUGGGGGAUCUUCGGACCUCACGCUAUCAGAUGAGCCUAGGUCGGAUUAGCUAGUUGGUGGGGUAAAGGCCUACCAAGGCGACGAUCCGUAACUGGUCUGAGAGGAUGAUCAGUCACACUGGAACUGAGACACGGUCCAGACUCCUACGGGAGGCAGCAGUGGGGAAUAUUGGACAAUGGGCGAAAGCCUGAUCCAGCCAUGCCGCGUGUGUGAAGAAGGUCUUCGGAUUGUAAAGCACUUUAAGUUGGGAGGAAGGGCAGUAAGUUAAUACCUUGCUGUUUUGACGUUACCAACAGAAUAAGCACCGGCUAACUUCGUGCCAGCAGCCGCGGUAAUACGAAGGGUGCAAGCGUUAAUCGGAAUUACUGGGCGUAAAGCGCGCGUAGGUGGUUCAGCAAGUUGGAUGUGAAAUCCCCGGGCUCAACCUGGGAACUGCAUCCAAAACUACUGAGCUAGAGUACGGUAGAGGGUGGUGGAAUUUCCUGUGUAGCGGUGAAAUGCGUAGAUAUAGGAAGGAACACCAGUGGCGAAGGCGACCACCUGGACUGAUACUGACACUGAUGUGCGAAAGCGUGUGGAGCAAACACGAUUAGAUACCCUGGUAGUCCACGCCGUAAACGAUGUCCACUAGCCGUUGGGAUCCUUGAGAUCUUAGUGGCGCAGCUAACGCGAUAAGUCAACCGCCUGGGGAGUACGGCCUCAAGGUUAAAACUCAAAUGAAUUGACUCGCAGCCCGCACAACCGGGAGUAGCAUGUCGUUUUAAUUCGAACCAACUACGAAGAACCUUUACCUCGACCUUAGUCAUGAUUAACAACUUUCCACCAUAUGGAUUAGCUGCCGUUCGGGGAACUCAAAACUCAAGCGGCUGCAUUGUCUGGCUUGCAACUCGUUGUCCCUGACAAUGGUAGGGAUCAUGUCCCCGCCAACCAAGCCGCA
This 1086-nucleotide ribosomal RNA is filed under the name Pseudomonas aeruginosa. RNAcentral's name for it is "bacterial SSU rRNA". It matches the Rfam family "Bacterial small subunit ribosomal RNA", at positions 44 to 1106 of the family's 1533-position model. The record is from RNAcentral. Lineage: Bacteria; Pseudomonadati; Pseudomonadota; Gammaproteobacteria; Pseudomonadales; Pseudomonadaceae.